GGCAUCAAGUGAUGAAUUUGGAAAACAAUCUUAGGACACCUUCCUACAUAGCUUUGAUAAAAGCUAUGGAUGAGAAGAACAUUUCCUUUCUGAUGAUGAC
Molecule: small nucleolar RNA, 100 nt
Filed under: Theobroma cacao (cacao)
Lineage: Eukaryota; Viridiplantae; Streptophyta; Magnoliopsida; Malvales; Malvaceae
Description: Small nucleolar RNA snoR31/Z110/Z27
Rfam family: Small nucleolar RNA snoR31/Z110/Z27
About the family: This family contains several related snoRNAs including R31, Z27 and Z110.
Source: Rfam by way of RNAcentral